Molecule: ribosomal RNA, 413 nt
Filed under: uncultured Prevotella sp.
Lineage: Bacteria; Pseudomonadati; Bacteroidota; Bacteroidia; Bacteroidales; Prevotellaceae
Description: bacterial SSU rRNA
Rfam family: Bacterial small subunit ribosomal RNA
Source: RNAcentral
UGAGGGAAUAUUUGGGUCAAUGGGCGAGAGCCUGAACCAGCCAAGUAGCGUGCAGGAUGACGGCCCUACGGGUUGUAAACUGCUUUUGCGGGAGAAUAAAGUCGGCCACGCGUGGCCAUUUGCAGGUAUCCCGUGAAUAAGGACCGGCUAAUUCCGUGCCAGCAGCCGCGGUAAUACGGAAGGUCCGGGCGUUAUCCGGAUUUAUUGGGUUUAAAGGGAGCGUAGGCCGGAGAUUAAGCGUGUUGUGAAAUGUAGGUGCUCAACAUCUGCACUGCAGCGCGAACUGGUUUCCUUGAGUACGCACAAAGUGGGCGGAAUUCGUGGUGUAGCGGUGAAAUGCUUAGAUAUCACGAAGAACUCCGAUUGCGAAGGCAGCUCACUGGAGCGCAACUGACGCUGAAGCUCGAAAGUGC